Molecule: non-coding RNA, 938 nt
Organism: Cyanistes caeruleus (blue tit)
Lineage: Eukaryota; Metazoa; Chordata; Aves; Passeriformes; Paridae
Source: RefSeq, a predicted model, not a curated record
CAAACCAUUCCAGGAUUCCACGGCCACCCCUGGCACAGAGCAGGAAGCCUUGGCUGGCCCCAGUAAGGUCUGGCUCCAGCAAAUCCAACCCCUGUCCUUCGGCAUCCUUCGGCAUCCCAGUGCCACUACAGCUGCUGAAAUGUGCCAUGAAACCAGGGACCUCCAAGCUCUGCAUCAAAACACCUCGGAGGCAAUUCAUUUAUACCAGGAGAACUUCUGAGGCUGGAAUUUUCCCUGAUGGCACUGCUGGAAGGCUACAACAGCCCAGCAGGUCAGCCAGUUGAAAGCAGUAUUUCAUCUGGCAAUUUAUUCAAAUAAAUCUUUCAAAACAUGAAAUAAGCUCUAAAGAUGGAGACUGUCAAAGGCUGCGGUAGCCGAGCUCCUGAGUGGAAUGACCAAGCAGGAGGAGCAGCUGUGGGACAGGAGCCCAGCUCCCUGUGCUGGGAGCAGUGUGAUCCAGUGAGGGGCUCAGCAGGAUAACAGUGAUGGGCUUAACGAUGAAAAGGUGCUUUUGUCAAUUAUUAUCAUUCCAUGUGCAGUGGCACGACCCCAGAGAUGAGUGGAAGGUCUCCAGCACCCGGUGGGGAUUUUAAAGGCUUUGAAGCACCCAGGUCUGAGCUCAGCCGAGACAGAGCAGCCCUGCCAGAGACAGCUGAGGGGAAUUCCAGUGCAAAGGAAGGUUUUCCUGCCAUUGCCCGGGGGAAGGAGGAGCUGGAACAAGUGGCCAGGCGUGUUUUGGAGGAAGAAGAGCCCCUUUGUGGUGUGCACACCAUGGGCAUUGUCUGCUCGUGGGUCAGCGGCGGGAGCUGCCCCCGCUUGGGCAUCGGCUUCUCCUGCCAACAUUCCCAGUCAGGCUCAGCUCCCUCCCUCAGCCUCUGCCCUCUUCACCAGCUCCAGCGAGGAACAGAAGGCACGAUGGAGACAGUAAUCACAGAAUC